CUAAGAGGGAUGGUUCCCUUUUUUAUUGAGAGAUAGAGGGGGGAAUUUAUUUCAUAAGGGUACUCCUAAUUCGUACGUAAUGAAAUGGCUUGUAACUUCCUCGUAAUAUUUAUCUAUCGUGCACCUUCAGGCGAUGUAAAAAGGUUUGUAACCGUUACGGUGGGAGCUUGGUUUUUUAUGUCGAGGAGAAAUUCUGUGCAGUUGCCCCAGGCGUCAAUUAUGGGCUCAAGUUCCAAGCGUCUCGAAACUGUUUUCUUACUUACGGGGUAUCACAUCUGGCCGACAAGUAGCGAGGUAGGCUAGAAAGAUAUUGUCUCAGUAUUCCGGGUGCAUUCAACUGUGUGGUAUUCACAUCAAGAGACCUGCUUGCAGGAUACUUCGAUGCUGCGUAUACAAGAUCAUGUGGGUUACGGUUGCAGUGUGGACGACCAACCCUGUAUUUCUUGCAAAAAAACUUCUGUACUUGGAGUGCCAAUUUGAGUAAGAGAUAGAUCUGAUUAAGUUGUUCUGUAUCGGUUACCGCUCAAGAGGGAGGAUAUAAAAGGAACAGAUAGGCUUCUUAGAUGAGAAAGGGCGUUUCUGCUUACUGACGGGGGUCGGUGUGCAAUUAAAUUCCCUUUUAUGCUAAGAUCCUAAUAUAGUGGUACAUGUGAUGAUAGCCAUUCCGGGAAUGUGGUCUAUGAUUUCUUGCCCCCUUCUUUUUCCUUUUGCAUAACCUUUGUAUUAUUUUCCUUCUUUCUCUAUGAUGUAUCUUCGCCUGAUCUGGUUCGCCAGCAUAGGUUGAAGUUGUCAUAAAGAAAAAGGGAAAUAAUACAAUAAAAUUGUAAAAAAGAGAGGAAGUGGAAUGGAAAAAGUAGGCCGCAUUUCGGCGACCCUUCUCAUGGUCUUAUCCACUAAUGAGCGGCACUAGAGUGCUUAGAUAUAAAUCGUAAGUAUAUAUUCCUACUCUAGCGUCCGUUGAAUAUUACGUAACAAAAAGGAAGUUACUCGCACAUCAUGAAAAUAGAUAGAAAGGUAGUAAGUACUGCUCCGCGUUCUGCAUGCAGCGCUACUUUU
This is an RNA transcript of Plasmodium vivax (malaria parasite P. vivax), 1056 nucleotides long. It is a transcript of the gene named internal transcribed spacer 2, with no coding region annotated. The transcript has a single exon. The record is from RefSeq and is a predicted model, not a curated record. Lineage: Eukaryota; Apicomplexa; Aconoidasida; Haemosporida; Plasmodiidae.